AGCAGCCGCGGUAAUUCCAGCUCCAAUAGCGUAUAUUAAAGUUGUUGCAGUUAAAAAGCUCGUAGUUGAAUUUCGGGAUCAAAGAAUCGGUCAUGCCUUGGUAUGUACUGGUUUUAUUGGUUCUCACCUUCUAAAGAACCAUGAUGUCAUUCAUUUGAUGUUAUGGGGAAUUAGGACUGUUACCUUGAAAAAAUUAGAGUGUUUAAAGCAAGCUUACGCUUGAAUACAUUAGCAUGGAAUAAUGAAAUAGGACAUCAGAUUCUAUUUUGUUGGUUUCUAGGAUCGAUGUAAUGAUUAAUAGGGAUAGUUGGGGGCAUUAGUAUUCAAUUGCCAGAGGUGAAAUUCUUGGAUUUAUUGAAGACUAACUACUGCGAAAGCAUUUGCCAAGGAUGUUUUCAUUAAUCAAGAACGAAAGUUAGGGGAUCGAAGACGAUCAGAUACCGUCGUAGUCUUAACCAUAAACUAUGCCGACUAGGGAUCGGAUGAUGUUAAUUUUUUAAUGACUCA
This 507-nucleotide ribosomal RNA is filed under the name uncultured Glomus. RNAcentral describes it as "SSU rRNA". It matches the Rfam family "Eukaryotic small subunit ribosomal RNA", at positions 569 to 1078 of the family's 1831-position model. The record is from RNAcentral. Lineage: Eukaryota; Fungi; Glomeromycota; Glomeromycetes; Glomerales; Glomeraceae.